CACCGUUUUCGGCAGGAGAGCAAUUCCCCUCACACCAAAUUUAUCAUGCCUGCACUUGUUGUAACUGAAGAAACAAUGGCCUCCGAGGUAUCCAAAAGAAAAAUGAAGAAGACACCCAAAACUGAUCUUGAAACUCCUACUGAUAAGAAAACCAAAGAGAAAAAGUCAAAAAAAUCCAAGAUUGAUUCUGGGUCUGAUUCAGAGGACGCAAAAAGGAGUAAAAAGAAAGAGAAAAAGCGAAAAGCUUUGGACUUGGAUGGUGAGAAGAGUGAUACGAGCUCAGAGAUAUGCGAGCCGGUAGAUUUGAAGAAGAAUAAAAAGGCUAAAUUGGACGAGGAAGAAGUGAUGGUUGAGAAGAAAGUGGAGGAUCCUAAUGCUUUGUCUAAUUUUAGGAUUUCAAAGCCUUUAAAAGAGGCUUUGAAUUCUAAGGGAAUAGAAGCACUUUUUCCUAUUCAAGCUAUGACUUUUGAUGAUAUUCUUGAUGGAUGUGAUUUGGUUGGUCGAGCUCGUACUGGUCAGGUAUGAAUUCAGCUCUUGAUUCUAUCAUGCAUAUUUAUUAUUUACUUGCCGUGCUUUAGUUAUGUAAAUAUUGGAUGAGUUUUAAUGGAGUAACCAGUUUGUAUAGGACUAACACUUUGUUUGGAUAAUUAUUACAAAUUGUUUCAUAAUGGAUUGCAUUAUAUUGUAUUAGGUUGUAUUGUAAUGUAUUGAUCCAUUAUAUUGGAUACACAUAUUUCUUACCACGAUGUCCAUUAGGAAGAGACCCUAAAUUGUUUGUAAGGUUCUUUGGUCUCUUGCUGCUAGAGAUGCACAGGUUUCCUUUGAUGAGAAGCUUACUUUUGGAUUGUGAUAAAGGUUCUUUGAUUUCUUUAUUGUCAUAUAUACAGAUUACCCUUUUGAAGUAAGGUUUAUAUAUGAAUUAUGAGCUGCAUGUUUCCUAUUAUAAAUUAUUCAUUCAUCAAGAGUUUAAGCUAAAUGGCAAUAGUGAAAUUUAGUCCUCAUGUUAUGAAUGUUAAUGGUAAAUUGAUUUUCCUAUUCCUUUUGCCGCUGCUAGAAAUUUCAUGAUAAUGAUUCCGACUAUUUUUGGUUAACUAGAUUGUAAAGCAGAGAUAUGACUUGACUUUAAUUUGUGCUUCUGUAUUUGCAGGGUAAAACGUUGGCCUUUGUUUUGCCCAUUUUGGAGUCCCUAACAAAUGGUCCUACUAAAGCAUUGCGUAAAACAGGAUAUGGGAAGGCUCCUAGUGUUCUGGUGCUUUUACCUACUAGGGAAUUAGCACUUCAGGUAUAUAUUAUCAGCCUUCUCUGUUAACCAAUGGGUUGCAUUUCUUGUAAGUAGCAUCUUGUUAAUUUGUUAAUUGCAGGUGUUUGCUGACUUUGAAGUUUAUGGCCGGGCUGUUGGGCUCACUUCGUGCUGUCUGUAUGGAAAUUCUCCUAUGGGGGCACAACAGGCUCAACUAAAAAGAGGAGUUGACAUUGUAGUGGGUACUCCUGGAAGGGUUAAGGUAGGGUUUGCUGAUAUACAAGUUGAAUUUCAUUCACUUUUAUGGAGGGAAAAUUGACUGCUUCAAAAUUCUGCUGCAGGACCACAUUGAAAGGGGAAAUAUUGAUUUCGGGUCUUUAAAGUUCCGUGUUCUUGAUGAAGUCGAUGAAAUGUUAAAAAUUGGUUUUGUAGAUGAUGUCGAAUUUAUUUUAGGUAUGCAUGAGUCAGAAAUCUCUUCCUACAGAAGUUGUGGUUUCUUACUCCUCCAUAUCUAUACUAUGCUGUUACAGAUGUUAGGAUAAAAUUCUUUGACAGCUGAAAUUUGCCAGUGCAUCACUGUUCUGUUGCGGGAUUUUCUAUUUUAUGGUUAUUGACACGUUUAUGCUUUUCUGUUUGUUUUAUUCCUUUGUGAUUCAAAGGCAAGGUCGAAGAUGCAAGCCUAGUUCAAACCGUUCUUUUCAGUGCCACUUUGCCAGUCUGGGUGAAGCAUGUAUGUUAGUUGUACCUUUUGUUUUUGAAUUCAUAAUAUAGUAUCCUGUAUCAUCAGUUCAAUUGUUCUCUGCCUAAGGCUUGGUAAACAAACCACCUUGAAGUUGGAAAUUAGAGGGUGGGCGGGGAUGUACAACUGCUGUGCUCUUAGCUUGCACUUCUUUCUCUCUUACUGAAACAUGUUUUUGGUGCCAGAUUGCUUCUAAGUUUCUGAAACCAGAUAAGAAAACGGCUGACCUUGUUGGUAAUGAGAAAAUGAAGGCCAGUAAAAAUGUGAGGCAUAUUAUUAUUCCAUGCUCUAGUACUGCAAGACCUCAG
RNAcentral lists this long non-coding RNA (2287 nucleotides) under Solanum tuberosum (potato). RNAcentral's name for it is "long non-coding RNA (STUB_LNC006496)". The record is from RNAcentral. Lineage: Eukaryota; Viridiplantae; Streptophyta; Magnoliopsida; Solanales; Solanaceae.